GACGAACGCUGGCGGCGUGCCUAAUACAUGCAAGUUGAACGCUUGAUUUUCACCGAAGCUUGCUUCACCGAAAAUCAAGAGUAGCGAACGGGUGAGUAACGCGUGGGUAACCUACCUAUCAGCGGGGGAUAACUAUUGGAAACGAUAGCUAAUACCGCAUAACAAUGUUGAAUGCAUAUUCGACAUUUGAAAGUACCAAUUGGUACACUGAGAGAUGGACCCGCGUUGUAUUAGCUAGUUGGUAGUGUAAUGGACUACCAAGGCGAUGAUACAUAGCCGACCUGAGAGGGUGAUCGGCCACAUUGGGGACUGAGACACGGCCCAAACUCCUACGGGAGGCAGCAGUAGGGAAUCUUCGGCAAUGGACGAAAGUCUGACCGAGCAACGCCGCGUGAGUGAAGAAGGUUUUCGGAUCGUAAAACUCUGUUGUUAGAGAAGAACGUUGCAUAGAGUGGAAAAUUAUGCAAGUGACGGUAUCUAACCAGAAAGGGACGGCUAACUACGUA
RNAcentral lists this ribosomal RNA (506 nucleotides) under uncultured bacterium. RNAcentral describes it as "bacterial SSU rRNA". It matches the Rfam family "Bacterial small subunit ribosomal RNA", at positions 28 to 507 of the family's 1533-position model. The record is from RNAcentral.